GACGAACGCUGGCGGCGUGCCUAAUACAUGCAAGUUGAGCGCUGAAGGUUGGUACUUGUACCGACUGGUUGAGCAGCGAACGGGUGAGUAACGCGUGGGGAAUCUGCCUUUGAGCGGGGGACAACAUUUGGAAACGAAUGCUAAUACCGCAUAAAAACUUUAAACACAAGUUUUAAGUUUGAAAGAUGCAAUUGCAUCACUCAAAGAUGAUCCCGCGUUGUAUUAGCUAGUUGGUGAGGUAAAGGCUCACCAAGGCGAUGAUACAUAGCCGACCUGAGAGGGUGAUCGGCCACAUUGGGACUGAGACACGGCCCAAACUCCUACGGGAGGCAGCAGUAGGGAAUCUUCGGCGAUGGACGAAAGUCUGAACGAGCAACGCCGCGUGAGUGAAGAAGGUUUUCGGAUCGUAAAACUCUGUUGGUAGAGAAGAACGUUGGUGAGAGUGGAAAGCUCAUAAAGUGACGGUAACUACACAGAAAGGGACGGCUAACUACGUG
This 497-nucleotide ribosomal RNA is filed under the name uncultured bacterium. RNAcentral's name for it is "partial 16S ribosomal RNA". It matches the Rfam family "Bacterial small subunit ribosomal RNA", at positions 28 to 507 of the family's 1533-position model. The record is from RNAcentral.